This 549-nucleotide ribosomal RNA is filed under the name Limnonectes doriae (Doria's frog). RNAcentral describes it as "partial 16S ribosomal RNA". It matches the Rfam family "Bacterial large subunit ribosomal RNA", at positions 1817 to 2597 of the family's 2925-position model. The record is from RNAcentral. Lineage: Eukaryota; Metazoa; Chordata; Amphibia; Anura; Dicroglossidae.
CGCCUCUUGAAUCUCAUAAGAGGUCCAGCCUGCCCAGUGACACAAUUAAACGGCCGCGGUACCCUGACCGUGCGAAGGUAGCAUAAUCACUUGUUCUCUAAAUAAGGACUUGUAUCAACGGCAUCACGAGGGUUAUACUGUCUCCUCUUUUUAAUCAGUGAAACUGACUUUCCCGUGAAGAGGCGGGAAUAGAAAUACAAGACGAGAAGACCCCAUGGAGCUUUAAACCCAAUAGUAACCUCUAUUUACUACUACUACUUAAUCAAGAAGGUCUACCUACUGGUUUUAGGUUGGGGUGACCCUGGAGUAAAACUAAGCCUCCAUGACGAAUAGAAUUAUUCUAAUCCCAGAGCCACUGCUCUACGAAUCAAAAUUUUGACGUAAACUGAUCCGCCUAGCGAUCAACGAACCAAGUUACCCUGGGGAUAACAGCGCAAUCCAUUUCAAGAGCCCCUAUCGACAAAUGGGUUUACGACCUCGAUGUUGGAUCAGGGUAUCCCAGUGGUGCAGCCGCUACUAAAGGUUUGUUUGUUCAACAAUUAAAACCCU